GGAGGUAUAGCUCAAUGGCCAGUACCUGCCUGGCAAGCAUGAAGUCCUGAGUUCAAUUCCCAGUACUUCCC
Molecule: transfer RNA, 71 nt
Filed under: Fukomys damarensis (Damara mole-rat)
Lineage: Eukaryota; Metazoa; Chordata; Mammalia; Rodentia; Bathyergidae
Rfam family: tRNA
About the family: Transfer RNA (tRNA) molecules are approximately 80 nucleotides in length. Their secondary structure includes four short double-helical elements and three loops (D, anti-codon, and T loops).
Source: Rfam by way of RNAcentral